GAGAAACCUAUGGGCUUGAAAUGAUUACAUGACUGUGUAUAAGAUUAGAGUUACAGGAUCUGGCAAUUGUGUGUUUUAAAAAGCUCAACCUUUGCGUUCGGAAUUAAUAGCUGUAGCAUCCUAACUAAUCAUCUGCUUUCGUUCUUGUAGUUUUCUUCCGAUUCAAAAAUAAUACAGGCCAUAGGAUACAGUGGAGCUGGCAAGGGCUUGUGUUCCAUUAUGUCACCUAGCAACUUCACAUGCUUCCAAAUAAACAGCCUUAGGUGAAGUUUGAUCCGCUGAAAACAUGUGAAAAGAAACAUUACUUGAAAAGGAAAAGAAACAAAACAAAAUCCCUGUCUACUGCUUACUUUCAGGUGAAGAAACAGACCCAGAUAAAUGAAGUACUCCAAGACCUAAAACAUAUGUACAUGUUCUGCACAAACUGCCACUUUCAUGUCUUGGCUAAGUUGAUCCAAAUGUAAUUAAAUUUUUACACCUUCCUAUACCUGCAAAAUUAAUUUGAAAAAAAAAAUGUGCAGGAACAAAGCUUUUAGAUUUUAGAUAAUUUCUGCACCUAAUCAGGACAUGAGUCUUCUAAUAACAUUUUUUAUGACACAGAAUUUUAUAAAAUGACACAAAAAGUCAUAAAUUUGUUUGUUUGAGCCUGUCACCUUUCCAUCCAUAUUGGAAUAAUCAAAGGAAAAGACAAAUCAAAGAUAUGUAGCCUAUUCUUGAUACACUGGUUAAAAAAGUUCUAUCUGAAAUGGUUCGCUACUGCUAACUUUCACCAGUGGCUUGUCUUCUCCUAUAAAUGGGUAUAUAAGAACAAAAUGGACUAAUUUGUAGCACAUUUGACAAUAUGUUGUACCUUGGUCUUAGAAUAUACUGAGCAUCCCGACUUCAUUCAUUUCAAACUGCUUUGGGACUCUAAGGAACACAUUCUGGGUGGGCCCCACUUGGAGUGCUACAUCCAGAUCUGGGGCUCCCUGCGCAAGAAAGGUGU
This 985-nucleotide long non-coding RNA is filed under the name Anser brachyrhynchus (Pink-footed goose). RNAcentral's name for it is "lncRNA (ENSABRG00000019935.1)". Lineage: Eukaryota; Metazoa; Chordata; Aves; Anseriformes; Anatidae. The record is from RNAcentral.